GUGCACCAGGCGCGAAACCUCCGCAAUACACGAAAGUGUGACGGGGCCAUCCCGAGUGCCGUCCGCUGAGGACGGCUUUCCCCAGUGUACAUAGCUGGGGGAAUAAGGAGAGGGCAAGCCUGGUGUCAGCCGCCGCGGUAAUACCAGCUCUCCGAGUGGUGGGGACGCUUAUUGGGCCUAAAGCAUCCGUAGCCGGCUAGGCAAGUCCUCCGUUAAAUCCAACGAUUCAAUCGUUGGGCUGCGGGGGAUACUGUCCAGCUUAGGGGCGGGAGAGGCCGACGGUAUUCCCGGGGUAGGGGUGAAAUCCUAUAAUCCCGGGAGGACCACCAGUGGCGAAGGCUGUCGGCUAGAACGCGCCCGACGGUGAGGGAUGAAAGCUGGGGGAGCGAACCGGAUUAGAUACCCCGUAGU
RNAcentral lists this ribosomal RNA (411 nucleotides) under uncultured microorganism. Its description in RNAcentral is "bacterial SSU rRNA". It matches the Rfam family "Archaeal small subunit ribosomal RNA", at positions 330 to 745 of the family's 1478-position model. The record is from RNAcentral.